RNAcentral lists this long non-coding RNA (368 nucleotides) under Malus domestica (apple). RNAcentral describes it as "long non-coding RNA (MDOM_LNC012912)". The record is from RNAcentral. Lineage: Eukaryota; Viridiplantae; Streptophyta; Magnoliopsida; Rosales; Rosaceae.
GACCUAAAACCCUCAACCAAACCAUUAUUAAGUUGAUAAGCGUGAGAGUGCUUUGAACACUCUGUCGUGGCCUUCCACCAUGGUAGCUCCAAUCAUUUAUGACUUGUACACCGCCUUCACCCUAUCAUGGGGGAGUGCAAAGUGCAUGCUUAUACUCAGGAGGAGUCUAUAUACAUACUUGAUGAGGUGAGUGUAGGCAACGAGGAUGACCGAUAUCAUAUCAUUGUGAGGCUAUUCUUGAACCCCUUCAUGAACUAAGCAUGGUGGGAAUGACUUAACUAAGUGCAAUGGAACCAAUAUCAUAUCAUUGUGAGGUUACAUUCUCUAGAGGCCAAAUAAGAUGGGUACUUGCAAGAGAUGCAAAUGAG